CCCUGAUCCCCACAAAUACAGUUUGGGAAAGAGCCAGAACAGUGUGAACAGGGACACCAGAGGCUUUUCUGAAAAGCUGCUUGAAUAGGAGCCAAGAGUGUACUGCUGUUAUGAGCAAGGAGAAGUGGAUAAUGGGCUACUGCACACAUUGGGAAGGUGUGGCCAAAAGAUUGGAGGAAUUUAUUAUAACCCUCCACAUGGCUCUGGCAAUAGAUAUUCAGCAAGAACAUUCCAUUGGGACCUGCACCCAGACUGGAAUAGCAAGAGAUAUGGUAGACAAGAUAGA
Corapipo altera (White-ruffed manakin) is the source of this 286-nucleotide long non-coding RNA. RefSeq lists it as uncharacterized. The transcript has 3 exons. NCBI's taxonomy places the organism in Eukaryota, Metazoa, Chordata, Aves, Passeriformes, Pipridae. The record is from RefSeq and is a predicted model, not a curated record.